This 379-nucleotide ribosomal RNA is filed under the name uncultured Mantoniella. RNAcentral's name for it is "SSU rRNA". It matches the Rfam family "Eukaryotic small subunit ribosomal RNA", at positions 587 to 975 of the family's 1831-position model. Lineage: Eukaryota; Viridiplantae; Chlorophyta; Mamiellophyceae; Mamiellales. The record is from RNAcentral.
AGCUCCAAUAGCGUAUAUUUAAGUUGUUGCAGUUAAAAAGCUCGUAGUUGGAUUUCGGUUGAGAGCGGCCGGUCCGCCGUUUGGUGUGCACUGGCUGGUCUCAACUUCCUGCGGAGGACGCGCUCUGGGCUUAACGGUCUGGACGUGGAGUCCGCGUGGUUACUUUGAAAAAAUUAGAGUGUUCAAAGCGGGCUUACGCUUGAAUAUUUCAGCAUGGAAUAACACUAUAGGACUCCUGUCCUAUUUCGUUGGUCUCGGGACGGGAGUAAUGAUUAAGAGGAACAGUUGGGGGCAUUCGUAUUUCAUUGUCAGAGGUGAAAUUCUUGGAUUUAUGAAAGACGAACUUCUGCGAAAGCAUUUGCCAAGGAUGUUUUCAUUA